CUUGAGGUUUUUCGUCGUGGUUAUUUACGUGGCUAGUUCGGUUAACUCCCAACGUAUAAGACGACCUCCUAGAACUAGAUCUCCUAGAACAAGACCUCCUUGCUACAUCAAUGCAAACUGCCCAAUACAGGAUGUUCCUGUUUGUGGUACCGUCAAUCGUCGUGGGAGCAUCAUCAAUUGUAAUUUUAGCAACCAAUGCCUAUUAAAUAAUCACAAAUGCCGAAAGCGUGAAACAUGGACAUCUAGGCGCGGUAGGUGUGGUCAGAAAUCCAGCAACAGAGACUGCAACUAAGCCGAGAAUAUACACUGAAAUAACUAGUGUUAAAGACCCCGUACUUACUACGGCAAAAACUAAGAAUGUAAAAAAAUAAAAAAUAAUUUAGUUCACUUAAA
Molecule: long non-coding RNA, 393 nt
Organism: Drosophila innubila
Lineage: Eukaryota; Metazoa; Arthropoda; Insecta; Diptera; Drosophilidae
Exons: 2
Source: RefSeq, a predicted model, not a curated record